UUGGCUGCAAGUUUCUGUAAACCAAGUAGAUCAGUUUGAUUGGUUUGAUAAUGAAUAUGCUUUUCGUGCUGUGAGCAUGCUACAGGCAUGAUCACUUGGCUGGCGACAUCAUGAGUGGGAACACCUUUUUUCUUGCUGUGAAAGUGAAAACCAUACUUCAGAAUAGAUCCUUUCUCCAGAAAUGUUGAAAUGAGCACACGGCGAAAAGCCAAUUCAGUGUAUAAGAAUAUUUCAAGUUCUUCGAUACAAGUACACAAAAAGGUAUAAAGCAAUAUGUCAAACAGUGAUGUCGUCAGCGCCAAUGAAAGACAUGAAGAGGAAGUUGCCUCGGCCAAGUCGUUCACAUCCAGCAUCCCGUACAUACCCAGUCUACACAGACUGGACACCGUCCCCUCGAAGAAGCAUCAAGAUUCCUGGUCGUCACAGAAUCCUCAAUUUAGGAAUAAUUUAGGAAAUAUUCCUCAGUGGUAUAAUACACCUUGAUCAUGUGAACUCUGACAAGUACCACUAUGGUUUAUUUUCUGUAACCAUACACGAGUAGUGAUGAGGCAUAAGUGAAUGGUCUGGUGACUACUUAGAGGUUACUCAUUUGUUCCUGAAAAACAUCACAGAACACAUACGAUGAGAUACAUUGUUUAAUGGAAAAAAUGUAAAGAAUAUUUUCAAUAAGCACUACAAGAUAAUACUUUUGACGGAGAAAUUAAAUGCAAAAGCACAUGCAUAAAAUACAUACCUAACAGUAACAUACUCUCAUUGGUGACAUUGAAAUGCUGGGUUAAAGAUUUAAUAUCAAUUGCAAUUUGUUUGUAGUUCGUGUCUUCAAAAAUUGAACAGUUUACUAAAUAUUAUCAGUCUUCCUGUCGUGGCGAUAUAUAUGUAUUACAUUCAAGAGUGGCGGCAACGAAACACGAUACACAGGUAGUAACUUACCGAACAAUCCCACAGCGUAACCUGUGCACUAUGCCAAGAUGUUGUUUUAUCAAAU
Molecule: long non-coding RNA, 985 nt
Organism: Haliotis rufescens (red abalone)
Lineage: Eukaryota; Metazoa; Mollusca; Gastropoda; Lepetellida; Haliotidae
Exons: 3
Source: RefSeq, a predicted model, not a curated record